RNAcentral lists this transfer RNA (71 nucleotides) under Streptococcus pneumoniae. Its description in RNAcentral is "tRNA-Glu(ttc)". It matches the Rfam family "tRNA". From Rfam's summary of the family: Transfer RNA (tRNA) molecules are approximately 80 nucleotides in length. The record is from RNAcentral. Lineage: Bacteria; Bacillati; Bacillota; Bacilli; Lactobacillales; Streptococcaceae.
GGUCCGUUGGUCAAGGGGUUAAGACCCGCCUUUUCACGGCGGUAACACGGGUUCGAAUCCCGUACGGACUA